CAUAUACCCCAAAAACCUAAUUCAUUUUCCACCUUAUACCGCCGCCCUAAAAUCCUCUCUUCUCUAAAAUACUCUCAACCAAAACCCUAAUCUCCAAAUGCCGACACCCAUCUAUGGACAUCUUCGGCGACCUCUCAUCAUCUCUCAGGCCUCCAAUGACUUUUCUCAUGUCAUUCUUACCAUCCCUAAGGCCCUCAAGGGACCAGGGCCAUGCUGACUUGCAUCUAGGAUUCAUCUCCUGCUUGUUCCUAGCCAUUCCAAUGUGAUUUCGAGUGAAAUUGUUCUAUAUGAUCUAUGAGUUUCUAGAUAGGUUUCUUCAUCUCUGUAUGGAUCUCUUCGAAACCCUAAUUUCUUUUCUAUACCUCAUACAUCUUACAGAUCAAGGACAAUUUGAGUUUAUUUCUUGUGUGUUUUACAAUAGCCUUGAGAUUUUUUACAAGAAUCAUAUGAUUUCAAGUGUUUUUCAUCUUUUUCUAAAAUUAAGGUUUUCAGAAUUUCUUUAUAAACUUUGUUGGAUGAUUUUUUGUGUUUAAACUUCUGUUUCUCACAUAUUUUGACUGAUUCUAUCAGUCUACUACAACUUUAACUCGCCUGUGCUGAAAGUCUAACUUUUCAGGGGUUCUUCAUUUGGUUUCUGAGUAUAAGCAUAUCUGACUGGUUAUCGCUUUGAGUUCUUGUGAUUUCUCGUAAUUGUCUUGCCUUAAUAUGCAUCUAUUGAGUUUUUUAGUCUAAACUUUAUUGAUUCUACAUGCAUGUGUUCAUCUUGACUAUUCACAUAAAGACCUGUAUCUUUCUCACUGAACAUGUAUUGUUGUUUAGCUUUUGUUUUGUUAAAGUUAUAUGUCAAUUCCUGACUAUCCAUGUUUUAUCUUAUUUAUAUGUUAAACAUACUAACUCUUUUCAUGACUUUCUCUUUGAUUGAGCCAUUGAAUAUUAUGAAUUUCUUAUUUCUUGGGCUGAUUUGAACACUUUUCCUUAAACUUCCGAUUCUUACCUUUCUACUCGAGUUGAUUGAUUUGCUUGACUUAAUUAAUUUUCCCUUAACUUGUCUGCAUUAUUACUUGAUUCUUACUUAUUAUUUCCCUAAUUUGAACUUUAUGUACCUAGCCAAGUUGCAUUUUCUGUACUUGCAUUGUUUGAAGUCUUUCCUUAUUUGUUAUACUCCAGCUAUGUAUGAUUUCUUUCCUUACUUGUCACCUACUCUUUACCGUUUGAGCUAAUUCCCUUAAUUAAGGGAAGACUUGGACUGAUUUUACUUUAAUUGAUUCUGAGAUUCUCCAAUCACCAAACAAUUUGAUUCUUACCUUAUUUACCUAGCUUCAAACUACUAUUUAUAUGAUUUCUUCUACUCUCAUUAGACAGAACAUUGAGUUCACAAAAAAAAAACACUUACAUGUUAAAAGUUCUCUUUCUCUUCCACUAUUUGUGAUACUUGCCGAUCUAGUUGGAUGAAAGCCAAAGCUAUAUAUUGGAACUUUAUUUUCUUCAUAUUCUGCACCUUUCUUCAACUGGUAUGUCUCUAAUUAAAAUUUGAGAUUCAAACCCUAUGUGUUUUCAUUAUUGCACUAGUUCAUCAGUUAUGAGUUCAAUUUCCUGCCUACUUCUUUAUGCAGUAUGUCUAAAAUCUGCUUGUUUAAUGUAUUCUUUACAUUCUGUUCUUUUUCUUGCUUACUUCUUACCUAGCAUGUCUAAAUUUCUGUCCUGUUCAAUGUAUGCACUCUGCCCUGUCUAUUUCUUUGCCUAGCAUGACUAAUCUGUUAAAGUCCUCAAGGUCCUAAGUGUUGUAUGCAAUUUGUGACUAUAUGUUUCCUUUAUCCCUAUCCAUGAUACCUAAUGUGAUUCUUAUGUCCCACCAUUCUCAUAUGAGAUCUAUUUGUCAAAUGUUUCUUUCCUGAGUCUGAAUGUCUCUUAUGACCAACCAAUUGUCUGUUGUUUUGAUACUCUUCUCAAACUGUCUUUUCCCACUAAGUUGUUCCUGUUUUUGAAACAAACCUUUCUACUUCUGAAGCCAUCCUUGUACUAUUUACAAAACAAAACUAUGUCAAGCAUUAUCCACUACUCCUAAAAUAUUUAGGUCAUGCCCCUCUAGUAUGUGUACUGCCUUGAGAUCCAUGAGAUUCUCUAAACGCUAGCAUGUCAGAGCUGUCCUUUCCACACUGCACUAGAAUCAGUUCUUGUUUGAGAAAGUCUAGGUGUGAAUACUGCUCGAGAUCUUUGAGAUCCUUAGGGAACUCUGACGCACCUAGACAAUGAUACUGUCCAUGAAACUUUGGCAUUUGAGGUUAUUGGAGGCUUAGGGAAGUCAUUUGGUCCUGCUUCAGGCUCCAUAUAGUUAAAUUCUUCUUUUCUUUAUUGUUUAUGUAAUUUAUUCAUCUAGUCUGUAAUAAUUAUUUGUAAACAACUUUGGGGUGAUUACUGAAAAAGGGUGAAUAGCUAUAUCUA
This 2442-nucleotide long non-coding RNA is filed under the name Nicotiana benthamiana. Its description in RNAcentral is "long non-coding RNA (NBEN_LNC016246)". The record is from RNAcentral. Lineage: Eukaryota; Viridiplantae; Streptophyta; Magnoliopsida; Solanales; Solanaceae.